Cyanistes caeruleus (blue tit) is the source of this 725-nucleotide non-coding RNA. NCBI's taxonomy places the organism in Eukaryota, Metazoa, Chordata, Aves, Passeriformes, Paridae. The record is from RefSeq and is a predicted model, not a curated record.
GUUAUUUCCGGAAGACGAGGGCGUGACGCAGUUCGGGAAGCUUCGGAGGGGCUCGGAAGAGGGAUUCCCGCCCCGCUCGUAGUUCCUCGGAGCUUCUCAGCAAUCUUCGGCGUCCCUCGGGGUCGCCAUGGGGAUUCGGGGACAUUCGAUUCAGCUCGGAGAGACUUCGGCAGCGCUUGGCGCUGAGGGAUUGGCCCGAGGUUCUCAGGGGAGCCUGGAAUCCCUCAGCACCCACUGAGGGCUUCCCCUGCCCGAAAACUCACCUCCAGCCCAAAUUCCUGCCUUCUGGAGGGGCUGGAAGGGCCAGCACUGCAGCCUCCCCUGAGGCAUCAUCCCUCCUCACGGCCACCGUCUGAGCUUGGCAGCAGCCAAGGUGGUUUGUACCAUCUCAGAGAGAUAAAAAGCACCUCAGAACAGAUUCCAGCAGCUGCCAGAUUGUCCUGACGUGUCCUGCCCUGCCACUGGCUGCCGAGGGCUCAUUCCAACCUGCUGGCACCUUCCAACAUUCCUGCCUCACUGUACGUCCCAGGGAGAUGCUCCCAGCACCUUUGCUGUGCCCAUAAGUAUUGCUGCCCCAGUCACCCAGCCUCGGCUGCUGCUCUAGGAAACCUUCCCAGAGUUUACUUGUGUCCUGUCUGCUGCAAAUUCUGAGCAGCUGCAGGUUUAAGAAUGCUUUAAUGCAAUCACAAAUAAACCCUUAAACAUGAAAAGCUUCUUUUACUGAA